AUUGAACGCUGGCGGCAGGCUUAACACAUGCAAGUCGAGCGGAGUGAUGGUGCUUGCACUAUCACUUAGCGGCGGACGGGUGAGUAAUGCUUAGGAAUCUGCCUAUUAGUGGGGGACAACAUCUCGAAAGGGAUGCUAAUACCGCAUACGUCCUACGGGAGAAAGCAGGGGAUCACUUGUGACCUUGCGCUAAUAGAUGAGCCUAAGUCGGAUUAGCUAGUUGGUGGGGUAAAGGCCUACCACGGCGACGAUCUGUAGCGGGUCUGAGAGGAUGAUCCGCCACACGGGGACUGCGCCCCGGCCCAGACCCCUACGGGAGGCAUCAGUGGGGAAUAUUGGACAAUGGGGGGAACCCUGAUCCAGCCAUGCCGCGUGUGUGAAGAAGGCCUUAUGGUUGUAAAGCACUUUAAGCGAGGAGGAGGCUUACCUAGUUAAUACCUGGGAUAAGUGGACGUUACUCGCAGAAUAAGCACCGGCUAACUCUGUGCCAGCCGCCGCAGUAA
Molecule: ribosomal RNA, 503 nt
Filed under: uncultured bacterium
Lineage: Bacteria
Description: partial 16S ribosomal RNA
Rfam family: Bacterial small subunit ribosomal RNA
Source: RNAcentral